AGUGAACGCUGGCGGUAGGCCUAACACAUGCAAGUCGAACGGCAGCACAGUAAGAGCUUGCUCUUACGGGUGGCGAGUGGCGGACGGGUGAGGAAUACAUCGGAAUCUACUUUUUCGUGGGGGAUAACGUAGGGAAACUUACGCUAAUACCGCAUACGACCUACGGGUGAAAGCAGGGGAUCUUCGGACCUUGCGCGAUUGAAUGAGCCGAUGUCGGAUUAGCUAGUUGGCGGGGUAAAGGCCCACCAAGGCGACGAUACGUAGCUGGUCUGAGAGGAUGAGCAGCCACACUGGAACUGAGACACGGUCCAGACUCCUACGGGAGGCAGCAGUGGGGAAUAUUGGACAAGGGGAGCAAGCCUGAUCCAGCCAUACCGCGUGGGUGAAGAAGGCCUUCGGGUUGUAAAGCCCUUCUGUUGGGAAAGAAAAGCAGCAGGUUAAUACCGCGCUGUUCUGACGGUACCCAAAGAAUAAGCACCGGCUAACUUCGUG
This 492-nucleotide ribosomal RNA is filed under the name uncultured bacterium. RNAcentral's name for it is "partial 16S ribosomal RNA". It matches the Rfam family "Bacterial small subunit ribosomal RNA", at positions 29 to 507 of the family's 1533-position model. The record is from RNAcentral.